AUUGAACGCUGGCGGCAGGCCUAACACAUGCAAGUCGAGCGGAUGAAGGGAGCUUGCUCCUGGAUUCAGCGGCGGACGGGUGAGUAAUGCCUAGGAAUCUGCCUGGUAGUGGGGGAUAACGUCCGGAAACGGGCGCUAAUACCGCAUACGUCCUGAGGGAGAAAGUGGGGGAUCUUCGGACCUCACGCUAUCAGAUGAGCCUAGGUCGGAUUAGCUAGUUGGUGGGGUAAAGGCCUACCAAGGCGACGAUCCGUAACUGGUCUGAGAGGAUGAUCAGUCACACUGGAACUGAGACACGGUCCAGACUACUACGGGAGGCAGCAGUGGGGAAUAUUGGACAAUGGGCGAAAGCAUGAUCCAGCCAUGGCGCGUGUGUGACGAAGGUCUUCGGAUUGUAAAGCACUUUAAGUUGGGAGGAAGGGCAGUAAGUUAAUACCUUGCUGUUUUGACGUUACCAACAGAAUAAGCACCGGCUAACUUCGUG
Molecule: ribosomal RNA, 484 nt
Filed under: uncultured bacterium
Lineage: Bacteria
Description: partial 16S ribosomal RNA
Rfam family: Bacterial small subunit ribosomal RNA
Source: RNAcentral